AUUGAACGCUGGCGGCAGGCCUAACACAUGCAAGUCGAACGAGUGGCGGACGGGUGUGUAAUGUCUGGGAAACUGCCCGAUGGAGGGGAUAACUACUGGAAACGGUAGCUAAUACCGCAUACCAUCGGAUGUGCCCAGAUGGGAUUAGCUGGUAGGUGGGGUAACGGCUCCCCUAGGCGACGAUCCCUAGCUGGUCUGAGAGGAUGACCAGCCACACUGGAACUGAGACACGGCCCAGACUCCUACGGGAGGCAGCAGUGGGGAAUAUUGCACAAUGGGCGCAAGCCUGAUGCAGCCACGCCGCGUGUUUGAAGAAGGCCUUCGGGUUGUAAAGCACUUUCAGCGGGGAGGCGUUACCCGCAGAAGAAGCACCGGCUAACUCCGUGCCAGCCGCCGCGGUAAUAC
This 405-nucleotide ribosomal RNA is filed under the name uncultured bacterium. Its description in RNAcentral is "partial 16S ribosomal RNA". It matches the Rfam family "Bacterial small subunit ribosomal RNA", at positions 30 to 526 of the family's 1533-position model. The record is from RNAcentral.